Molecule: long non-coding RNA, 498 nt
Filed under: Mus musculus (house mouse)
Lineage: Eukaryota; Metazoa; Chordata; Mammalia; Rodentia; Muridae
Description: predicted gene, 40932
Source: RNAcentral
UGAACUACCGCUCCCAGGUAUACCAGAAGCUGGACAGAGUCAAGAAAGGAUCUCUCCUAUGGCCUUUGCUGGGUGGGCUGCACUGCUAAAACCUUGACUUUGGACUUGAACCUUCCAGUGCUGAAAAGAUCGUUGCUAUUUUUAUGUGACAGAGGAGAAGCCUGGCACCAAGGGCUGGUCUAAGAAAAGCUUAGGAGAUGCCUGAAGUCACCCAUCUGUGAAGGCUUUGGAGUCAGAGCUGCAAUCCACGUUAAUCAAUGGCAAAGUCAAUGCUUUGGGUAUUUUUGGUUUUGUUUUUGGUUUUUUGUUUUUGUUUUUCAACAUCAGUUCUGAUAUAACAAUGAACAGAAAGGGCAACGUCCUUGCCAUAAGGGUUAACCUCUGUUGUGGGCCGAAUUGUCCUCCUGAAAUUCAAACAUCCAAGUUGUAACCUUUGAUGUGACUGUAUUUGGGGAAAAGAGCUUUUAAGGGAGCAAUAAAAGCUAACUGCUACUGUUA